This 450-nucleotide ribosomal RNA is filed under the name uncultured bacterium. RNAcentral describes it as "partial 16S ribosomal RNA". It matches the Rfam family "Bacterial small subunit ribosomal RNA", at positions 338 to 795 of the family's 1533-position model. The record is from RNAcentral.
CCUACGGGUGGCUGCAGUAGGGAAUAUUGGGCAAUGGACGAAAGUCUGACCCAGCCAUGCCGCGUGCAGGAUGACUGCCCUAUGGGUUGUAAACUGCUUUUCUAUGGGAAGAAACACUCAUACGUGUAUGAACUUGACGGUACCAUAGGAAUAAGGAUCGGCUAACUCCGUGCCAGCAGCCGCGGUAAUACGGAGGAUCCCAGCGUUGUCCGGAUUCAUGGGGUUUAAGGGGGACUACGACGUCAGACUUGAAAUCUUGCGGCUCAACCGUAAAAUUGCCUUUGAAACUGGUAGUCUUGAGUUCGGUCGAGGUGGAUGGAAUGUGUCAUGUAGCGGUGAAAUGCUUAGAUAUGACCCAGAACACCAAUUGCGAAGGCAGUUCACUAGACCGAUACUGACGCUGAGGCACGAAAGCGUGGGGAGCGAACAGGAUUAGAUACCCGUGUAGUC